Molecule: ribosomal RNA, 2148 nt
Filed under: Triticum aestivum (bread wheat)
Lineage: Eukaryota; Viridiplantae; Streptophyta; Magnoliopsida; Poales; Poaceae
Description: partial small subunit ribosomal RNA
Source: RNAcentral
UGGGAAAGAGAAGUGGAAAUCGAAAUCACAGAAGAUGAUGAAUUUCACAACUCCGACCUGUAUGAUUUCGUCCAUAGCAACAUACCGAAGAACACACAUGUGCUCAAAACGGUACCAAAUUGCAGCUUCUGCCAUGCAACAAAAUUCAAGAAUGAAACUAAGGGGCUAUGCUGCAGAAAAGGAAAGAUAAGACUAGCCAAUCCAGAUACACCACCUGAGCUCAAGAGACUUUGGACAAGCAACGACUCUGAUGCAAGACAUUUUCGGAACAAUAUAAGAUUUUUCAAUGGACACUUCUCGUUUACUACUUUAUACUGCAACCUUGAUAAAGAAACAACCGACAUACGAACAUCUGGUAUAUACACGUUUCGAGCACAUGGUCAAAUCUACCAUAAUAUACACUCAUUCGGUAACAGUCACUCAGAUCCAAAGCAUCUGGAGCUAUACUUCUACGAUGAUGAUCCAAGCUUGGAGCAUCGGUACCGCCGUUGCCGCGAGGAAAUGUACGAGCAAGACAAGCAGGUGAUUCGAAUAAUAACCGACAUUCUACGCGAUAACCCAUACUCUCAACAGUUUAGGAGUUUGGGACAAGCCCAGAACCUUGAGGACUACAGACUCAUAUUGAACCUUGACCAAAGAUUGGACCAGAGAACUUACAAUGCACCAAUCAAUUUAGAGGUAGCUGCAGUGUGGAUUGAAGGAAAUGAAAGAAGAGAUACUUAUGACAAGAGUGUAAUACUACAUGGGAACAACAACGAAAUAGAGCACAUUCGAUCAUAUUAUGGGUGUUAUGAUCCAUUGUCGUACCCUUUGUUCUUUCCAAGAGCUGAGCUGGGUUGGCAUAGGAAAAUCCCAAAGAAGGAUACACAAGAGGAAGGUAUUGAUGCUGAUGAUAUCAAUGAUGAUGAUGAACCAGAUUCAGUCAAUGGCCUGUGGGUAACGAUGAAAGAAUACUAUUGCUAUAAAUUGCAUACACGACCAAACAUAUUCAACCCAAUAUUGCAUGGCGGACGACUUUUCCAGCAGUUUGCUGUAGAUACAUACAUCAAGAUUGAAAGCUCUAGACUAGAUUACAUCUGGCAUCAUCAAAAGGAAAUAAGGGCAGAUCUAUAUCAAGGCCUUCUAGACAGCAUUCAAGCUGGAGAAGAAAAGGGAAACGCAGUCGGAAAACAGAGGGUACUUGCAUCAUCAUUUAUUGGAGGACCACGCGAUAAACUUCGCCGGUAUCUAGAUGCUAUGGCUUCAGUUAGAAAAUAUGGAAAGCCAGACAUAUUCCUCACAAUGACCUGCAACCCCAAUUGGGAUGAGAUCACACGUGAACUACAAUCCGGGCAAACACCACAAGAUCGCCCAGAUAUUGUAGUUCGUGUUUUCAGGGCGAAGCUAGAAGAAAUGAAGAAGCAACUAUUUCAGAAGGCCAUUCUCGGAAAGGUUAAGGCAUAUACAUAUGUUGUAGAAUUCCAAAAGAGGGGAUUGCCACAUGCUCACUUUUUGCUGAUCAUGACCGGAAAAUAUAAGUACACAUGUCCAGAACAGUAUGACAGAAUCAUCUCCGCUGAGCUCCCUAACAAGCACAAGUACCCAGAACUCUACAAAAUGGUAAUCAAACAUAUGAUGCAUGGUCCUUGUGGUGCAUUGAAUAAAUUAUGUCCAUGCACAAAGAAUCGUUCGUCAUGCAAGAACAAUUAUCCAAGGCCAUUUACCGAAACUACGAUUCAAGGCAAGGACUCCGACCCAAUAUAUAGGAGACGCAAUGACGGUCGGACUGAAACGGUCCGAAAUUGCAAACUGGAUAACAGGUGGGUGGUUCCUUACAACCCUUAUCUAUUAAGGAUGUUCAACUGCCACAUAAAUGUUGAGAUAUGCUCAAGCAUUAAAGCCGUUAAGUACCUAUUCAAGUACAUCUACAAGGGUCAUGAUCGAGCAUCUGUAUCUGUAACUGACAAAGCAAAUGAAGCCGAAAUCGACGAGAUUCAACAAUACCGAGACGCACGCUGGGUGACGCCACCAGAAGCACUGUGGAGAAUAUAUGGCUUUGAACUAAGCAAAAUGCACCCGCCAGUCUUGCAACUACAGCUGCAUCUCCCAAAUAUGCACAUGGUUUCAUAUCAUGGCAAAGAAAAAAAUAAAGAAUGUUAUCGACCGUGA